Ochotona princeps (American pika) is the source of this 447-nucleotide non-coding RNA. The record is from the annotation of a RefSeq genome assembly. Lineage: Eukaryota; Metazoa; Chordata; Mammalia; Lagomorpha; Ochotonidae.
UUGUCUAUGUCCAAUGCUUAACAUUCACAGACCAGGGGUGAGGGCUCCCCUGCGAACGGGCAGGAAGCCAUGGAAAGAAGAUGGGAGAUUCUGCUGGGACUUCUGUGGGUCCAGAUUUGCUGGGUGAGAGGGCUGCAGGUGGAGCAGAGUCCUUCAGCCCUGAGUGUCCAGGAGGGAGCCAGCCCCACUCUACGGUGUAAUUUUUCUGACACGAUACAGGGCAUGCAGUGGUUCCGACAGAAUCCUGGGAGCAGCCUCAUCAGAUUAUUUUACAUAGCUUCAGGGACAAAGGAGAAUGGAAGGUUGACGUCAACCCUCAAUUCCCGGGAGCGCUACAGCACCCUCCACAUCGCAGCCUCCCAGCUGGCUGACUCAGGCACCUACUUCUGUGCAGCAGAGGCACAGUGCUCCCAGGUCACCUGCUGCCUGCACCCAAACUGCAGCUGA